Molecule: non-coding RNA, 28 nt
Filed under: Mus musculus (house mouse)
Lineage: Eukaryota; Metazoa; Chordata; Mammalia; Rodentia; Muridae
Source: RNAcentral
UGGGCAACAGUGGGCUCGCCUUCGUAGU